Molecule: ribosomal RNA, 470 nt
Filed under: Lodderomyces parapsilosis
Lineage: Eukaryota; Fungi; Ascomycota; Pichiomycetes; Serinales; Debaryomycetaceae
Description: eukaryotic LSU rRNA
Rfam family: 5.8S ribosomal RNA (bases 132-285)
Source: RNAcentral
UACUGCAUUUUUUCUUACACAUGUGUUUUUCUUUUUGAAAACUUUGCUUUGGUAGGCCUUCUAUAUGGGGCCUGCCAGAGAUUAAACUCAACCAAAUUUUAUUUAAUGUCAACCGAUUAUUUAAUAGUCAAAACUUUCAACAACGGAUCUCUUGGUUCUCGCAUCGAUGAAGAACGCAGCGAAAUGCGAUAAGUAAUAUGAAUUGCAGAUAUUCGUGAAUCAUCGAAUCUUUGAACGCACAUUGCGCCCUUUGGUAUUCCAAAGGGCAUGCCUGUUUGAGCGUCAUUUCUCCCUCAAACCCUCGGGUUUGGUGUUGAGCGAUACGCUGGGUUUGCUUGAAAGAAAGGCGGAGUAUAAACUAAUGGAUAGGUUUUUUCCACUCAUUGGUACAAACUCCAAAACUUCUUCCAAAUUCGACCUCAAAUCAGGUAGGACUACCCGCUGAACUUAAGCAUAUCAAUAAGGGGAGG